RNAcentral lists this ribosomal RNA (723 nucleotides) under Heterocapsa sp. Its description in RNAcentral is "LSU rRNA". It matches the Rfam family "Eukaryotic large subunit ribosomal RNA", at positions 43 to 651 of the family's 3401-position model. Lineage: Eukaryota; Dinophyceae; Peridiniales; Heterocapsaceae. The record is from RNAcentral.
UAAGUAAGCGGAGGAUAAGAAACUAAAUAGGAUUCCCUCAGUAAUGGCGAAUGAACAGGGAUGAGCUCAGCAUGGAAAUCGGGGCCUGUGGCCUUGAAUUGUAGUCUCGAGAAGCAUUGCCAACGGAGGCGCAGAUGUAAGCCUCUUGGAAAAGAGCAUCGACGAGGGUGAGAGUCCCGUUUGUCAUCUGCAGUCCCCCGUGCACGGUGUGCUUUCUAAAGAGUCACGUUCCUCGGGAUUGGAGCGCAAAGUGGGUGGUAAAUUUCAUCUAAAGCUAAAUAUAGGUUCGAGACCGAUAGCAAACAAGUACCAUGAGGGAAAGGUGAAAAGGACUUUGAAAAGAGAGUUAAAAGUGCCUGAAAUUGCUGAAAGGGAAGCGAAUGGAACCAGUGUUGCUUGGCAAGAUUGGUGCGUGCUAAUGUGAUUGGCUGCUGCUUCAGCGCAAGCGUGGCAGUGGUUUUUGAUCAGGACGUGCGUGUUGUUUCUUGCCUUGUGUGUCAACGUCAGUUCUCAAUCGAGGAAAACGCCAGGGAAAUGGGAGCCUGGGUCCGCUUGGGUGAACGUCCUUGGUUGAACUCAUUUGUGAACUGUUUCUUGCGUGUCUGGUUGCAGUGCUCUCUGUCCCUGGGACUCCAAUGUGGGCUUCGGUCUGCUUGGGCGUCUUGGGCGACUGGGGUAUCUCCCUGACACAACGACGAUGACUAAAUGGUUCUAUUCGACCCG